Molecule: unclassified non-coding RNA, 4691 nt
Filed under: Manduca sexta (tobacco hornworm)
Lineage: Eukaryota; Metazoa; Arthropoda; Insecta; Lepidoptera; Sphingidae
Description: poly(A) polymerase type 3, transcript variant X2
Source: RNAcentral
AGAAACUAUAGCGCCAUCUUGUAAAAAUGGCUGCCUUGUUGUUGGCGACUGUUGGGUGCUUGUUUGGGAAUUAAUGUUUGUUUCCUUCAGUUAUUAUGAUUUAUGUUGAUCUGCCGUGCAAAAUUUAUUGAAUUCGCAUGCAUGGUUUAGUUAACUGAAACAUCAAAUCCGGAGUUCCGGGCCCCAACAGUUGUCCCUUAGGAAAGCAUUUUAUCAAUGACCCACCUUUAUAGUAUUUAAGUGUUACGCAGCAUGUCCAAGAUGUGGCCAGCGUCCCAGUACUCACACAGCAACGCUCACCAGCAGAAUGCUGGCAAGCCAAAUGAGCAUCAAAACCAACAGAACUUGAAAACUUUGGGCAUGACUUCCGCUAUAUCAAUGGCAGGUCCAAAGCCCAUAGACAUCGAGCGUACGAAUCAAUUGAAAGAAUCUCUAACCCCAUUCGGAGUGUUCGAAUCCGAAGCAGAGAUGCAUCAUCGGAUGGAGGUGCUGGGCUCACUGCACAGGCUCGUCAGGCAGUGGAUAAGAGAUGAGUCGCUGCGGAAAAACAUGCCGCCCAGCGUGGCGGACACCGUCGGAGGGAAUAUAUACACGUUCGGAUCAUACAGGCUCGGGGUACAUCACAGAGGCGCGGAUAUAGACGCUUUGUGCGUCGCGCCGCGUCACAUCGACAGGACGGAUUACUUCCAGUCGUUCUACGAACUGCUCAAGUUGCAGCCACAGGUGAAAGAUCUGAGAGCGGUGGAAGACGCGUUCGUGCCCGUAAUAAAGAUGAAUUUUGACGGCAUCGAGAUAGACUUGCUGUUCGCUAGGCUCGCGCUCAAAGAGAUACCUGACUCGUUUGACCUCCGCGACGACAUGCUGCUCAAGAACCUGGAUCAGAAGUGCGUUCGGUCGCUGAACGGAUGUCGCGUCACCGACGAGAUCCUGCGCCUCGUGCCCGAUAUCAAUAACUUCCGGCUCACGCUGCGAGCGAUCAAACUUUGGGCUAAACGUCACGGUAUAUACUCAAACACGCUGGGUUACUUGGGUGGAGUGUCGUGGGCUAUGCUAGUAGCUCGCACAUGCCAGUUGUACCCGAACGCCUUGCCUGCGACUCUCGUGCACAAGUUCUUCCUCGUGUUCAGCCAGUGGAAGUGGCCGCAGCCUGUGCUGCUCAAACAACCGGACCAUGUUAACUUGGGGUUCCCGGUUUGGGAUCCUAGAGUAAACAUGUCGGACCGUUUCCACUUGAUGCCGAUAAUAACGCCCGCGUACCCGCAACAGAACUCCACAUUCAACGUGUCUGCCUCCACCAGAACAAUCAUCAUGGAAGAGUUUAGAUUAGGUCUAACGAUAACGGACGAAAUAAUGCUCGGCAAAUGCGGAUGGGAGCGUCUGUUCGAGGCGCCGAACUUCUUCUCGCGGUACAAGCACUUCAUAGUGCUGCUCGCGUCGUCAGCCACCACCGAGGACCAGCUGCAGUGGUGCGGCCUCAUCGAGAGCAAGAUCAGACAUCUUAUCACGACGUUGGAGCGGAAUCAGCACAUAACGAUAGCGCACGUGAACCCCGAGUGCUACAACUCGGUGCCGCUCAACUCUAAUAACGGACAGCCGCUCGCUUUGCCGCCAGGAACUCCCAUACCCGAUGACCCUGCGCCUGAAAUUAAAAAGAAUGACAAGGGUGAGGUGAUAGCGAACCUCUGUUCGAUGUGGUUCAUCGGACUGGUGUUUGAGAAGACCAGCGUCAACGUGGACCUCACGUACGACAUAUCCUCAUUCACCAAAGCGGUGCACUACCAGGCAGAGAACACUAACAUGGCGCGCGAGGGACUCACCAUUGAGGCGCGUCACGUGCGGCGCAAGCAGCUGCCGCAGUACCUGUCGGCGUCGCUGCUGAAGCGCGAGCGCACCAUCUCGGGCGCGCGGCGCCGCCCGCACGAGCCCGCGCCGCCCGCGCCGCUCGCCCCGCACGCGCCGCACGCACCGCACGCCCCGCACGCACCGCACAAGAAGACCAAGCGAUUGUCAGAGAGCAGCACGGAUGAAGUAAGCGUCCUAUCCUACAACGAAGACUCAAAUUCCUCAAACGUGUACGAAGUGAACCUGCAGAAUGGCACGCACCCGCCCGCCGCGGACAAGGACAAGGAGCAGCCCGCGUCCACGUCGAACAGCAUCGCGUGCACGUAGCACUACGAGCAGUGGCGCCACCGGUUCAUAUUCGGCACCGGACGCGCUCGUACCGCCAAAGCCAAGCGGACGUAAACACCCAACAUGGCCUAGCACACUGGGGGACCUGUAUCUAGACAUUAAUACAACAUAACCCCCAGUAUUGCUGAGUAAAAUCGUACACAAGGGCCAAACUUCCAAGACACUACGGACAAAUGUGACUUAACUGUGAACAGUGAUAGUGUGUGUGAUACAGGAUCAAUAAGGUUAUAAACUUUGGUGCAAUUUAAUGUUUUGGUUGUACGUGGUUAUCCGCUAAGAUUGUACGAAUUUUCGCAGAGGCGGGCGCGCGGCGAAUACGUAACCUAACGCCCGAUGUCGCGCGGAGACGUCACGACGUGUGAUCACGUCCACACGGACGGGACGUCGCGUCGGCGUCACGUAAGUUACGUCACGCUAUGUCAGAUUUAGGAAGUUCGCACGUUUGCAAGAAAGCUAGCCAAUUCAUAGCCAUUAGGAUAAGCAUAGACAACAAUUGUACAUAGUAAAUUUAAAAAUUCUUGUCAAAAUAAUUUGUAAUAUAGAUUUACUUAUGGGUGAUACUAAACAUAAGUUGGUGUUUUUGGUACUUAAAAAAAAAUGUUUUCAGAUGUUUUCACGGCUUUCUUGCGAACGGUAUGAUAGUACAAAGUGGAAGAAAUUUUGUACCUCAUUUAUUUUCUUUUUAAUUCUUUUUUAUUAUAACUCGACAACUUGACUGUUAUCGGCUCUGGCUUCGUGCGUCCAUGUCCAAACGUAUAAUAGUGAUUGUUACAAAUUAGAAAUAGAAUAUAUUUAUUAGAACUUAGACCCUUGUGAGCCCUCCUGAUAUGCAUGCUUGGCUUUUUUCAUGCAUUCUAGCCUCUCCUUCUAUAUUGUAUGUAGUGUUCUUUACAGCAUUGCUCAAUGUAUACCAUACAAAUAAGGAAAACUUUUACCACCGCAGUUCGCAGCUACUGAUAUCAUUCUAUAGCGAACAACAUUUAGUUUUUACGCCAUGUGGAUAAAGAUAAUACAGAAUGUAGUUAUUGUGUGUGCCAGAAUUAAACCUAGCUUUUAUUAGUGUUUACUGUUUAUUUCAUUUGUUACAUAAACCAUUAAUUUGUCACUGUAAAUAAAGUAAUUGAUUUAUUUGUAUAAUGAAUCCACAGUUUUACAUUUUCUAUGAUCCACUUUACAUUGAAUUUCAUAUAGUAUUGUAUUAUCUAUUUCACUUGCAUUUGAUUACUUGAUAGAAAUAAUAUUUUCACCCUACCAACGAAUAAAUAAACAUUCGAGUUGUCGAGUAACACUUUGUCAAAUUGAAGUUUUUGUAGCGUUUUUUAUAUUGUAGAUUUGAAUGUAACGUUUCUUCUACUUAGGUAACAACACGCAGGGUAUAUCGCUGGUAUUUAUUUUGCCGAACAAUUUUACGGUUAGUCGCGCGUCGGAGGUGUGACUCGCGUCCAAUAGACGGCAAGGGCGGGGCUGUUGUGACAGUGACAGUUUUUUUUUUAAUUCGCCGCCAUCUUGAAAUGGCGGUAGUUCGAAAAAUUCAAUGACCGGAAGGCUUUCUCAGUUGUGUACGAUUUUUUUCGCUCGAUUAUUUCAUAAUUAUAUAAUUUACGUAUACUUCGGCUUCUAGUCAUGAGUGUACGCGAGUUUUGAUUAUUAUAGAAGUAUAUUUGGGGUUCCCGCCACAGAAUCGACGCCGUCCUGCAUACGAGUGAAGACAUCAAAAUCUUUGAGGAACAGACACUGCUGUACACAAUAUGACGUGAAUCAAGUUAAACAAUUAAAGCACAAUGUUUAUGAAUUGAUUGAGCAAAAAAUCGUAGUAGCUGGGAUGUAGUUUCGCAGGCCACUGUAGAAAUUAGGUAUGUUUUAUUUGUUUUGAAAACAAUGUUUUGAUUUCUAAUCGAAGGCAGUUUAUUGUCUGUAGAUUUGUAGAGUUCGGUUGAAAAGUCUCCUAGGCCGAUUAGAGCGAGAAAUAAAAAAAAAUGCGUUCGUAUUUUUUAAGUUCAAAAAAAAAAAUGUAUUUUUAGAUAAAAUUGUUAUAAAAAAAUUAAGUUACAAAAAAAAUAUUUUGUGCAGCUGAUGAAUGACAGUAAUGUCUUUCCGCACAUUUAACAAUAAGAUUUGAUCAGAUAGGAUUAGGGCUAUUUUUUAUAAUUAUUUUGUAAUUGAAAGAAAAAGUCGUAACUUAAUUCAAAAGGAAAUACAGUAUGAACUAAUAAACUUUUUGGAAGAAUUCAUUAUAAUAUGGCAGAAAAAUAUUCGUUUUUCAAUUGAAAAUAUCAUAGUCACAGCAACCCCGUUCUCACAACGCGUGAACUUCAACUAGAUGAUAAAACAGAAUAAUUCCACCUAGAUUUAUAAGACUCAAUGUAGUUUUCAAUUAAGGACCUUCUCGAUUAUAUGUAAGUUGUAUAUAUCAAUAGACAAUUGAUUAUUCUAUAUGAGAAUAUAUAUCUGCGAAAAUGAUUCAAAAUUAAAAAAAAAAGAAAUAAAUGUAUAUACAAAAA